UCAAAAUGUGCUCUGUACUUUUAUUUAUUUAUUUUAAACAUGUUAAACAUAAACCAUGUUUUAACUAGUGAUUAUUAAUGGUAAAAUUUUUCUAAAUCUGCUGUGUAAUCUUGUAUUAUUCAUCUUUAUACGCUCUUCUUCCUCUGCCUCUUCACUUUUUGCCGACGGAAAUCCUGUGAUGCAAUACAUUGAACGAAGCACUUGAAACAAAAAUUGUGAAAUUUAGUUGAUAUUUCGGUUCGAGAGAGAAUUCAAUCACGUGAAAAAUUAUCAUUACCGUGAGUCUGUACUAAAAUGAUUAACGGUAAGAAAGAUGCGUAUGAUAUACCCGUGGGAUAAGGAUUAAAACUCACGAUAUAGCCCUUGCAGGAAAAUAAACUUGAGGCAUAAGCAGUAAGGUUGAGCAUAAAAGUAUAAGACCAUUGUUUGCUUUAUAUACACUUUGUGAAGGAUUCUAUAUUUAGCUCACACACUUGGACAGUUAUCUCCCUGCAGAUUAGCACAUCUGUACUGCCAUAGGAAUCAAGAUCAUUCAAAAUUAUCCAGAUAACUGUGCUCGCUGCUCAGUACUGACGUUCCAUCAAGUCCAAUUCCAUUUUUCUAAAGAAAAGUGACGCACACAGUGCUUUAUAAAUGCAUAUAAGCGGAAAAAUUAAACUAUAUAUUAAUAGUCAUCCAUCGUUUACGCAACAAUUUUAUUGUUAGACAAAAAAACACUUGUAGAACUUUUCUAUGAUUAAAUAUUUUUUAUUAAAGAAAAAUAAUUUUUUCAAGUUCUUGAAAAUGCUAUUUGAAAAAAGAAAAAGUAUUUAAAACUCUUUAAAAAAAUUCAGUUGUAAAUAUUUCUUCAAAUCCGUUAGAAACUUGAUUAAUUUUACUGUCAGCAAAACAUGGAAUUAUAUCUGAUUUGAAUUUGAGCAGCUUAAGCCCUAAGCAUUACUGUUGGUUCUCCGAGACCCGAGCGAAGUUUUUGAAUUUUCAUUUCGAUGGGAGCCGUAAGCUUUCUGUAACCCAUGGGUGGGGGAAAAUAUAAUCUAUGUCGAGGGCUGUCAGCUCCCGAAAGGAUAACCUUAGUGCCUUCUUAUAGCCGCUAUAAGAAGGCACUAAUAUUAUCUUUUCGGGAACAGAAAAAAUGGAAAAUUUAGUUAAAUAUUCAUUAGCGAAUUUUAAUAGGCAGCGUUAGAUUUUCUGGAAGUGACGAGAACAUUAGAAAAGGAUGUAUGGGCUUAUUGUGCGCCAUACCUGCGGAACUCUAUUAAUUAUUAUGAACCCUGAAUCUGUUUUCUUUUUCGCUGUGAUAAUUAAUAAUCUUAUAGUUUUAUGUAGACUUUAACAAUAAAAACAGCUUUUGUAUGAAAAAAAA
This is a long non-coding RNA of Belonocnema kinseyi, 1363 nucleotides long. RefSeq lists it as uncharacterized. NCBI's taxonomy places the organism in Eukaryota, Metazoa, Arthropoda, Insecta, Hymenoptera, Cynipidae. The transcript has 2 exons. The record is from RefSeq and is a predicted model, not a curated record.